GUGGGGAAUAUUGGGCAAUGGAGGAAACUCUUACCCAGCAAUGCCGCGUGAAUGAAGAAGGUCUUCGGAUUGUAAAGUUCUUUAAUUGGGGACGAAAAAAAUGACGGUACCCAAGGAAUAAGCCCCGGCUAACUACGUGCCAGCAGCCGCGGUAAUACGUAGGGGGCAAGCGUUGUUCGGAAUGACUGGGCGUAAAGGGUGCGUAGGCGGUGUAGCAAGUUAGAAGUGAAAUACCUAGAGCUUAACUCAGGUGCUGCUUCUAAAACUGCUAUACUUGAGUGCAGUAGAGGAAAGUGGAAUUCCUAGUGUAGCGGUGGAAUGCGUAGAUAUUAGGAGGAACAUCAGUGGCGAAGGCGACUUUCUGGACUGUAACUGACGCUGAGGCACGAAAGUGUGGGGAGCAAACAGG
RNAcentral lists this ribosomal RNA (409 nucleotides) under uncultured bacterium. Its description in RNAcentral is "bacterial SSU rRNA". It matches the Rfam family "Bacterial small subunit ribosomal RNA", at positions 354 to 776 of the family's 1533-position model. The record is from RNAcentral.